Non-coding RNA from Cardiosporidium cionae, 73 nucleotides. Lineage: Eukaryota; Apicomplexa; Aconoidasida; Nephromycida. The record is from the annotation of a GenBank genome assembly.
UCCUUAGUAGCUCAGUGGGUAGAGCUUUCGGCUGUUAACCGAAGUGUCGUUGGUUCAACUCCAACCUAAGGAG